UGGAUGGUUCAAAUCGUUAAAGUUCGAUGUGUUGUGAGCCCCACAACUAAUCUCUAUUUUUUUUCAAAAAGUUGAACCCUUCCCCUUAAAGAAUCUGUAUAUAUAUUUAUGUUAAUUUGGUAUACAGUAUAAUGUGAAUGGGGAUCAUCUUCAAAUCUCGUAGUCGAAAACCGAAAAAUCGAGAAGUUCGGACCACUCAUUUUAAAUUCAAUGACCCCCAUUAACCAAUCCAACUAGCCCCAUCUCACACAAAAGAAAAGCCCAUAUCACUCUCUCUUGGACCGUCCGAAAUUCACCAUUGAGCUUGGAUAAACAUGAACAUUUUGCCUACUCACACAUAUGCUGUGUUCCUUAUCCUUAUGCGUAUCCCCGGAAUAAAAAAUACUUGACCUCAAAAAAAAAAAAAAUAAAAGCAUGGCUGUCAAUAUCAACCCACGAGUGGAUCAUCGUCGAAGGCUUCGAAUUCCUCUCGACAUUUCCUUCCAUUUCCACUUUCUCUCUCUCACUCCGCGGUCGUCUCUCCUCUCAUCUCUCACUCUUCCUCUGACCUUCCUUGUCUACUGAAGGAACCGUAACCCUCUUCUAUUCCUUGGGGUAAGUUUCCAGUACACUUCUCCAUUUACUUCCCACACUAAUCUCACCCCUGACAUAAAAGAGGAAUUUGACUGAUUUUCUUUGUGAGUUUUGAUUGUUUUCACGCAAUCUCCCAAAGGAUCACUAACGAUUAGCUUCUCUAGAGAUGCAUCCGUACCUGAAGCUGCGAACGCGGUGAUA
Long non-coding RNA from Pyrus x bretschneideri (Chinese white pear), 774 nucleotides. RefSeq lists it as uncharacterized. The transcript is spliced from 2 exons. Lineage: Eukaryota; Viridiplantae; Streptophyta; Magnoliopsida; Rosales; Rosaceae. The record is from RefSeq and is a predicted model, not a curated record.